AGAGUUUGAUCCUGGCUCAGAACGAACGCUGGCGGCGUGUUUAAGACAUGCAAGUCGCACGGAGUCAUUUGUGUAGCAAUACUUGAAUGGCUUAGUGGCGCACGGGUGAGUAACAUGUGAAUUACAUGCCCUAUAGUGGGGAAUAGCCCAGGGAAACUUGGAUUAAUACCCCAUAGUCUCGCAAGAGUAAAGGUGGCCGCAAGGCUGUCGCUAUAGGAUUGGUUCGCACCCUAUCAGCUUGUUGGUGAGGUAACGGCUCACCAAGGCUACGACGGGUACCUGGUCUGAGAGGACGAUCAGGCACACUGGAACUGAGACACGGUCCAGACACCUACGGGUGGCAGCAGUCGAGAAUAAUUCACAAUGGGGGCAACCCUGAUGGUGCAACGCCGCGUGGAGGAUGAAGGUCUUCGGAUUGUAAACUCCUGUCAUCUGGGAGUAAGACCUGGUCGUUAAUAGCGGACAGGGUUGAUAGUACCAGAAGAGGAAGGGACGGCUAACUUCGUGCCAGCAGCCGCGGUAAUACGAAGGUCCCGAGCGUUGUUCGGAAUCACUGGGCGUAAAGGGAGCGUAGGCGGCGUGGUAAGUCAGAUGUGAAAUCCCGGGGCUCAACCCCGGAACUGCAUCCGAUACUGCCGUGCUAGAGGAUUGGAGAGGUAGCUGGAAUUCUUGGUGUAGCAGUGAAAUGCGUGGAUAUCAAGAGGAACACUCGUGGCGAAAGCGAGCUACUGGACAACUCCUGACGCUGAGGCUCGAAAGGCCAGGGUAGCGAAAGGGAUUAGAUACCCCUGUAGUCCUGG
This 800-nucleotide ribosomal RNA is filed under the name uncultured bacterium. Its description in RNAcentral is "bacterial SSU rRNA". It matches the Rfam family "Bacterial small subunit ribosomal RNA", at positions 8 to 799 of the family's 1533-position model. The record is from RNAcentral.